RNAcentral lists this ribosomal RNA (508 nucleotides) under uncultured bacterium. RNAcentral describes it as "bacterial SSU rRNA". It matches the Rfam family "Bacterial small subunit ribosomal RNA", at positions 28 to 526 of the family's 1533-position model. The record is from RNAcentral.
GAUGAACGCUAGCUACAGGCUUAACACAUGCAAGUCGAGGGGCAUCAGGAAGGAAGCUUGCUUCCUUUGCUGGCGACCGGCGCACGGGUGAGUAACGCGUAUCCAACCUUCCCCUGAGUAGGGAAUAGCCCGGCGAAAGUCGGAUUAAUGCCCUAUGGUGUUCCGCGAUGGCAUCUGAUCGGAACUAAAGAUUUAUCGCUCUGGAUGGGGAUGCGUCUGAUUAGGUAGUAGGCGGGGUAACGGCCCACCUAGCCUGCGAUCAGUAGGGGUUCUGAGAGGAAGGUCCCCCACAUUGGAACUGAGACACGGUCCAAACUCCUACGGGAGGCAGCAGUGAGGAAUAUUGGUCAAUGGGCGAGAGCCUGAACCAGCCAAGUAGCGUGCAGGAUGACGGCCCUAUGGGUUGUAAACUGCUUUUGUCGGGGAAUAAAGUUACGUACGUGUACGUUUUUGUAUGUACCCGAAGAAUAAGGACCGGCUAAUUCCGUGCCAGCAGCCGCCGUAACAC